This is a long non-coding RNA of Actinia tenebrosa (Australian red waratah sea anemone), 1253 nucleotides long. The record is from RefSeq and is a predicted model, not a curated record. Lineage: Eukaryota; Metazoa; Cnidaria; Anthozoa; Actiniaria; Actiniidae.
GCAAGAGGUAAUGUUCAUCGCUCGCUUAAUCCUUCGGUCGGUCGGUCGUUAAUUUACUCGAUUAAUGAGAACGUCAAAGAAACGAAACAGCUAUGUGAACAAAACAACCUCAAAGCCAGGAGUAUCUUCAGCGGCGAAUCGUCCAGUGAAGAAAAAUGGAAGUCCCUUCAUCCAGUAAUCAAAACCGUUCUCAUGGAUGUAGUUGCCAAUGACGACCACGAAAUUUCAUCAAGUACGCAUGCGCGGAUCAAGAAAACUGUGGCGGGAAACGACUUGAUAGAAAUGUCCCGGAUUAUGUCCGAGAGGAGCCUGUGGAAGAAAGUUCCAGUAGCGCGCUACAGGAAAAGGAAACAAAUGAUGAAAAARGCGGUGAAAAAUCCUUGGAGCUCAUUGUUUGAAGAUGAAUCGUGUUAAAUGGUUAACAAAAGGCAGCUUAAACGAGUAAAGAAAAUGGAAUCCUAAAUGUCAAAACUUGACCUUUCCUAAAUUCAGUUGAGGGUUUACAUCCAAUGUAUUCUUCCAAUGCAAUGAAAAGUUUAUUUGCAUUUUCAUGUUCUCUGUUGCUCAGGGCUAUAGCCUAGAUUUUGUGUAGAAUAUCCACGUGUUCCAGUGAAGGUCCGUGGAAUUUCAAAAUGCUCGUAUUGUUGAAGUUGUAGAAGAAUGGUAUUUGUGCAUUGUUUAACAUAGAAACGAAGUUAAUCCUGAGUCUGUAGUCAAUUUUGGAAAGAGUUCCUACAAAAAUCUCUUUUUAUCCGCACUUAAUAUCUCCUUUUCGAAAAUAAGGCGUGAUCGCAUUCAGCAAAUUUUCUCUGCAACUUGUCUCACAAACGCGUUGCGACACAAGUUGCAAGAAUGUUUACACGGUGCAACGGGGACGCAAUCGUUGUCAAAAGCACGAACGAAUUCUACUUUUGGCAACUAUUGCUGCAACUUGUCACGCAACAUCUUUCUUUUUUUUUUUUUUCAAUUGCGCUGUAGGCUACACGCUGCGAUGGCUCCGUACACUUGUGUCACAACGCCGUUGCGAAACAAAUGGCAGAGAAAAUUGCUCCGUGUAAUGGCGUCUUCAAUGCCAAGUGCUUUUUUCUUUGAAAUCAUUGAACCAGUUCCUUUAGGUGAAUUCAGGAAAGGUCUAAAUCAGGGGAAGUGUAGAUGGGAAUAGAAGACAAAGGGUUUUAAGGAAUGGUGUAAAAUGGUAAAACAAAUACAAAAAGAUGAAUAAUAAAGCAUGGAACUCGAAAAUUGAAUUUGAA